RNAcentral lists this long non-coding RNA (602 nucleotides) under Homo sapiens (human). RNAcentral's name for it is "HSALNT0167943". Lineage: Eukaryota; Metazoa; Chordata; Mammalia; Primates; Hominidae. The record is from RNAcentral.
UCUUUCUCUAACCGCAAGGACCUGGUUUGCCUGCGGACUGGACAGAUCGGAUGCGUUAAAGAAUUGUCUCUCUUAAGGAAGGGAGGGCUCUCAUCCAAUGACUGACAGGACUGUUACAUAAGUACUCAAGUUCCCUCUCCAACUCGAAUGGGAUAACUCUGAGGGCCAUCAUUCUUGGAAAGUCAUCCAGUUCAUCAAUAUCCUUUAACACUGUUUGGAUUUGUGGGUGUUCAUUCAAGCAGGAAGGGAGGCCUAUGGAGCUGUAAAAUGUAAUCUCCAUUGAAGUUGGGCAUCUGGAAAUACUGAGAGUCUCCAUUGAGGUUGAGCAUCUCAAUAAACUGUGUUAUGUCAACCAGCCCGUGCAUGCCAACUAUUAUUAACUACCUCAUUUUUUGUGACCUCUAAUGUAAUAAUAUUUAAUGCUGAGCAGGUGUUCUGAAUUCUCAUUGUAUACUAUUUUUAUUCUUGUGUGAUGGAAUGGCUCCAUGUCCUCUAACACCUGACUAGAAUGAGGCACCUCUACCACCAGAAAGCCUCACUAAUGGCACAUCAGAAAACAGAAACACAAUAUGGAAUUGUGAGUUACUGAAAGCUUAUUAAAA